UAAGGAAUAUUGGUCAAUGGAGGAAACUCUGAACCAGCCAUCCCGCGUGAAGGAUGAAGGGGCUCUGCCUUGUAAACUUCUUUUGUCUGGGGCGAAAAAGCUCGAUUUAUCGAGAACUGACGGUACCAGAAGAAUAAGCACCGGCUAACUCCGUGCCAGCAGCCGCGGUAAUACGGAGGGUGCAAGCGUUAUCCGGAAUCACUGGGUUUAAAGGGUGCGUAGGCGGCUUAGUAAGUCAGUGGUGAAAGGC
RNAcentral lists this ribosomal RNA (250 nucleotides) under uncultured bacterium. Its description in RNAcentral is "partial 16S ribosomal RNA". It matches the Rfam family "Bacterial small subunit ribosomal RNA", at positions 355 to 602 of the family's 1533-position model. The record is from RNAcentral.